RNAcentral lists this ribosomal RNA (324 nucleotides) under uncultured eukaryote. RNAcentral's name for it is "partial 18S ribosomal RNA". It matches the Rfam family "Eukaryotic small subunit ribosomal RNA", at positions 1470 to 1796 of the family's 1831-position model. The record is from RNAcentral.
CCCUUAGAUGUUCUGGGCUGCACGCGCGCUACACUGAUGCGAUCAACAAGUUUUUCCUAUGUCGAUAGACACGGGUAAUCUUUUGAACUCGCAUCGUGAUGGGGAUAGAUUAUUGUAAUUAUUAAUCUUCAACGAGGAAUUCCUAGUAGGUGUAAAUCAUCAGUUUGCAUCGAUUACGUCCCUGCCCUUUGUACACACCGCCCGUCGCUGCUACCGAUUGGUUGAUCUGGUGAAUUAUUCGGACUGCCGGCUGAAGGGGUUUCCUCAUCUGCCAGCGGAAAGUCUUGUUAACCCUAUCAACUAGAGGAAGCAGAAGUCGUAACA